UUUGGUUAAGUUAGAAAGGGCGCACGGUGGAUGCCUUGACACUAGGAGUCGAUGAAGGACGGGACUAACGCCGAUAUGCUUCGGGGAGCUGUAAGUAAGCUUUGAUCCGAAGAUUUCCGAAUGGGGAAACCCACCAUACGUAAUGGUAUGGUAUCCUUAUCUGAAUACAUAGGGUAAGGAAGACAGACCCAGGGAACUGAAACAUCUAAGUACCUGGAGGAAGAGAAAGCAAAUGCGAUUUCCUGAGUAGCGGCGAGCGAAACGGAACAUAGCCCAAACCAAGAGGCUUGCCUCUUGGGGUUGUAGGACAUUCUAUACGGAGUUACAAAGGAACGAGGUAGACGAAGCGACCUGGAAAGGUCCGUCGUAGAGGGUAACAACCCCGUAGUCGAAACUUCGUUCUCUCUUGAAUGUAUCCUGAGUACGGCGGAACACGUGAAAUUCCGUCGGAAUCUGGGAGGACCAUCUCCCAAGGCUAAAUACUCCCUAGUGAUCGAUAGUGAACCAGUACCGUGAGGGAAAGGUGAAAAGCACCCCGGAAGGGGAGUGAAAGAGAUCCUGAAACCGUGUGCCUACAAAUAGUCAGAGCCCGUUAACGGGUGAUGGCGUGCCUUUUGUAGAAUGAACCGGCGAGUUACGAUCCCGUGCGAGGUUAAGCUGAAGAGGCGGAGCCGCAGCGAAAGCGAGUCUGAAUAGGGCGUUUAGUACGUGGUCGUAGACCCGAAACCAGGUGAUCUACCCAUGUCCAGGGUGAAGUUCAGGUAACACUGAAUGGAGGCCCGAACCCACGCACGUUGAAAAGUGCGGGGAUGAGGUGUGGGUAGCGGAGAAAUUCCAAUCGAACCUGGAGAUAGCUGGUUCUCCCCGAAAUAGCUUUAGGGCUAGCCUUAAGUGUAAGAGUCUUGGAGGUAGAGCACUGAUUGGACUAGGGGUCCUCAUCGGAUUACCGAAUUCAGUCAAACUCCGAAUGCCAAUGACUUAUCCUUAGGAGUCAGACUGCGAGUGAUAAGAUCCGUAGUCAAAAGGGAAACAGCCCAGACCGCCAGCUAAGGUCCCAAAGUGUGUAUUAAGUGGAAAAGGAUGUGGAGUUGCUUAGACAACUAGGAUGUUGGCUUAGAAGCAGCCACCAUUUAAAGAGUGCGUAAUAGCUCACUAGUCGAGUGACUCUGCGCCGAAAAUGUACCGGGGCUAAAUACACCACCGAAGCUGCGGAUUGAUACCGAAUGGUAUCAGUGGUAGGGGAGCGUUCUAAGGACAGUGAAGUCAGACCGUAAGGACUGGUGGAGUGCUUAGAAGUGAGAAUGCCGGUAUGAGUAGCGAAAGACGGGUGAGAAUCCCGUCCACCGAAUGCCUAAGGUUUCCUGAGGAAGGCUCGUCCGCUCAGGGUUAGUCAGGACCUAAGCCGAGGCCGACAGGCGUAGGCGAUGGACAACAGGUUGAUAUUCCUGUACCACCUCUUUAUCGUUUGAGCAAUGGAGGGACGCAGAAGGAUAGAAGAAGCGUGCGAUUGGUUGUGCACGUCCAAGCAGUUAGGCUGAUAAGUAGGCAAAUCCGCUUAUCAUAAAGGCUGAGCUGUGAUGGGGAAGCUCCUUAUGGAGCGAAGUCUUUGAUUCCCCGCUGCCAAGAAAAGCUUCUAGCGAGAUAAAAGGUGCCUGUACCGCAAACCGACACAGGUAGGCGAGGAGAGAAUCCUAAGGUGUGCGAGAGAACUCUGGUUAAGGAACUCGGCAAAAUGACCCCGUAACUUCGGGAGAAGGGGUGCUUUCUUAACGGAAAGCCGCAGUGAAUAGGCCCAAGCGACUGUUUAGCAAAAACACAGCUCUCUGCGAAGCCGUAAGGCGAAGUAUAGGGGGUGACACCUGCCCGGUGCUGGAAGGUUAAGGAGAGGGGUUAGCGUAAGCGAAGCUCUGAACUGAAGCCCCAGUAAACGGCGGCCGUAACUAUAACGGUCCUAAGGUAGCGAAAUUCCUUGUCGGGUAAGUUCCGACCCGCACGAAAGGUGUAACGAUUUGGGCACUGUCUCAACCAGAGACUCGGUGAAAUUAUAGUACCUGUGAAGAUGCAGGUUACCCGCGACAGGACGGAAAGACCCCGUGGAGCUUUACUGUAGCCUGAUAUUGAAUUUUGGUAUAGUUUGUACAGGAUAGGCGGGAGCCAUUGAAACCGGAGCGCUAGCUUCGGUGGAGGCGCUGGUGGGAUACCGCCCUGACUGUAUUGAAAUUCUAACCUACGGGUCUUAUCGACCCGGGAGACAGUGUCAGGUGGGCAGUUUGACUGGGGCGGUCGCCUCCUAAAGUGUAACGGAGGCGCCCAAAGGUUCCCUCAGAAUGGUUGGAAAUCAUUCGUAGAGUGCAAAGGCAUAAGGGAGCUUGACUGCGAGACCUACAAGUCGAGCAGGGACGAAAGUCGGGCUUAGUGAUCCGGUGGUUCCGCAUGGAAGGGCCAUCGCUCAACGGAUAAAAGCUACCCCGGGGAUAACAGGCUUAUCUCCCCCAAGAGUCCACAUCGACGGGGAGGUUUGGCACCUCGAUGUCGGCUCAUCGCAUCCUGGGGCUGUAGUCGGUCCCAAGGGUUGGGCUGUUCGCCCAUUAAAGCGGUACGCGAGCUGGGUUCAGAACGUCGUGAGACAGUUCGGUCCCUAUCCGUCGUGGGCGUAGGAAAUUUGAGAGGAGCUGUCCUUAGUACGAGAGGACCGGGAUGGACGCACCGCUGGUGUACCAGUUGUUCUGCCAAGGGCAUAGCUGGGUAGCUAUGUGCGGAAGGGAUAAGUGCUGAAAGCAUCUAAGCAUGAAGCCCCCCUCAAGAUGAGAUUUCCCAUAGCGUAAGCUAGUAAGAUCCCUGAAAGAUGAUCAGGUUGAUAGGUUCGAGGUGGAAGCAUGGUGACAUGUGGAGCUGACGAAUACUAAUAGAUCGAGGACUUAACCAUAUAA
Molecule: ribosomal RNA, 2930 nt
Filed under: Bacillus cereus
Lineage: Bacteria; Bacillati; Bacillota; Bacilli; Caryophanales; Bacillaceae
Description: bacterial LSU rRNA
Rfam family: Bacterial large subunit ribosomal RNA
Source: RNAcentral